Molecule: ribosomal RNA, 482 nt
Filed under: uncultured bacterium
Lineage: Bacteria
Description: partial 16S ribosomal RNA
Rfam family: Bacterial small subunit ribosomal RNA
Source: RNAcentral
AUUGAACGCUGGCGGCAGGCCUAACACAUGCAAGUCGAGCGGAUGAAGGGAGCUUGCUCCUGGAUUCAGCGGCGGACGGGUGAGUAAUGCCUAGGAAUCUGCCUGGUAGUGGGGGAUAACGUCCGGAAACGGGCGCUAAUACCGCAUACGUCCUGAGGAAGAAAUUGGGGACUUUCGACCUCACGCUAUCAAAUGAGCCUAGGUCGGAUUAGCUAGUUGGUGGGGUAAAGGCCUACCAAGGCGACGAUCCGUAACUGGUCUGAGAGGAUGAUCAGUCACACUGGAACUGAGACACGGUCCAGACUCCUACGGGAGGCAGCAGUGGGGAAUAUUGGACAAUGGGCGAAAGCCUGAUCCAGCCAUGCCGCGUGUGUGAAGAAGGUCUUCGGAUUGUAAAGCACUUUAAGUUGGGAGGAAGGGCAGUAAGUUAAUACCUUGCUGUUUUGACGUUACCAACAGAAUAAGCACCGGCUAACUUCGUG